Molecule: long non-coding RNA, 591 nt
Organism: Acanthopagrus latus (yellowfin seabream)
Lineage: Eukaryota; Metazoa; Chordata; Actinopteri; Spariformes; Sparidae
Exons: 2
Source: RefSeq, a predicted model, not a curated record
UGUAACUCUCCUCUUCAUCACUGAGCAGCCAAACAGAUUCCCCUUGUACCAGUGACAUCACACACUGGGGGCGUGGUUAAUCUGAAUCAAUAAAUUGUGUGUGUGUGUGAGAUUGCUGGUUGCCGUGGCUACAGAGAUAAAACAAGCUCAGAUUCAUUUUGUUUCUAAAUGACUACAGUCACUUCUUGAUGUACCAGCAUGCACCCGGAGUCAGUGACUGGCUGUUACAUAACAGAGAGAAUGUGAGCAGCUCAGCCAGUCAGAGCCUGUGAUGUCACGGAGAACAGGAAGCGAGGAGGAGAUGAUGGUUGCGUCUAAAAUUCCAUACCAUACACUACAUACUCAAGAACACAGGAAGUCAUGGACACACCAUCGAUCACUCAGGUCACACGUCUUUCUUACUCUCCUGAUGAACAAAGCAGUCAUGGCCGCCGGCUGCUGGUUGCCUGGUAACGUGUCCUGGGAGUACGGCGGCUCUGCCAGGAGGCCGAGAGGCCCGACAUCCAAAUGAAAGAGGAGGCCACGAACGCUUCAUCUGCAGUCUGCCAACAGGCUUUAUUCAAAUGCAUAAAACUUUAUUUAACACUCAGA